CGGUCCUAUUUGGAAUGCACACAAAUGGCAUAGAUCUCAAUUCAUAUUGCCCAUCAAUGAAUCAAUCGAGUGAUAUGUGAUGAAGCAUCCGAGUCGAUUAUAUAUCCAUGAAUUUAUAAAAUUAAACACCUUACUAGUGAAGUUUAAUAGGUCACCAGCUAGGCCUUGUCCUAGUAGGCUCAGUAGCUAAUCAUACUGCACUGCACUA
This 208-nucleotide long non-coding RNA is filed under the name Elaeis guineensis (African oil palm). RNAcentral describes it as "long non-coding RNA (EGUI_LNC028464)". The record is from RNAcentral. Lineage: Eukaryota; Viridiplantae; Streptophyta; Magnoliopsida; Arecales; Arecaceae.